AGCUUUGCGCAGUGGCGAUAUCGUAACCAAUGAAGUUCUACUGAGGUGCGAUUAUUGCUAGUUGAAAACUUUUACCAAUACCCCGCCAUGACGAUGUGAAAUACCAUCGGCUACGGCAAUUUUUGAAAGUUUCUGCGGAAA
Solenopsis invicta (red fire ant) is the source of this 141-nucleotide non-coding RNA. The record is from Rfam. NCBI's taxonomy places the organism in Eukaryota, Metazoa, Arthropoda, Insecta, Hymenoptera, Formicidae.